RNAcentral lists this ribosomal RNA (467 nucleotides) under uncultured bacterium. RNAcentral's name for it is "partial 16S ribosomal RNA". It matches the Rfam family "Bacterial small subunit ribosomal RNA", at positions 28 to 506 of the family's 1533-position model. The record is from RNAcentral.
GACGAACGCUGGCGGCGUGCUUAACACAUGCAAGUCGAACGGAAAGGCCCUGCUUUUGUGGGGUGCUCGAGUGGCGAACGGGUGAGUAACACGUGAGUAACCUGCCCUUGACUUUGGGAUAACUUCAGGAAACUGGGGCUAAUACCGGAUAGGAGCUCCUGCUGCAUGGUGGGGGUUGGAAAGUUUCGGCGGUUGGGGAUGGACUCGCGGCUUACCAGCUUGUUGGUGGGGUAGUGGCUUACCAAGGCUUUGACGGGUAGCCGGCCUGAGAGGGUGACCGGCCACAUGGGGGCUGAGAUACGGCCCAGACUCCGAGGGGGGGCAGCAGUGGGGAAUAUUGCACAAGGGGCGGAAGCCUGAGGCAGCAACCCCGCGGGGGGGAUGACGGCCUUCGGGUGGAAAACCGCUUUCGCCUGUGACGAAGCGGGAGUGACGGUAAUGGGUAAAGAAGCACCGGCUAACUACGU